GGACACUGCUAGUAUAUCAAUGUAUUAUAAAAGUGUAUUAAUGUGGUAUAAGAGAGUAUCAAUUUGGUAUAGGGACUGCACGUGCUUGCAUAAAAUUUCCCUUCUCUUUUUUAAAAAGUGUAUCAAUAUAGUAUAAAAGUGUAUCAAUUUGGUAUAAAAGUGUAUCAAUUGAGUAUGGAGACUGUAUGUGCCCAAUUGGGCCAAAUGGCUAAAAAAAGGAAUCAAUUAGCCGACUGGCUACACCAUGUCCACCUUUUCAAAUGUGGGUUUUUUAAAAAUGGAUAGCCCGUGUCCUUUCCCCCAAAAUAAAUGUCAUGAAAAAAAAUGCUUAAUUUUUGAAAGAAUUGUUUUAAGGAGAAAGUCGAAGGAACCAAUUUAAUCCGUUUUAGAUAAUAUAAAUUAGGUGAAAAAAAUUAUGAAUUAAGUAAAAGAAAAUUAAAAUAAAAUAAAAUGACAACACCUUAGAAAAUUUACCUAGAUUAAUUGAUUAAAAUGUUAGUUAAUACAAAUAAAUAAAAAUAAAUUAUAAACUACAAAAAAUGAAGUAUAAAUAACAUAAUACCAACAUUUUAAAAGUAGUUACACUCUCUCUCACUUUUUUAAUUACUUUAUUCUCUCUCCCUAUUAAUAUACAUAACAUAGCCGACAUAUACAUAGCAUUCUAUUUAUAUGUAGUAUUUUUGUAAUAUAUUUAGGGAGUUGGAAUUUUUUGUAAUAUUGAAAACAUAUGUGUAUUUGUGUAAUUUUUUGAAUACAAAUAUUUAAAUUGGGCCCUUAAUUAGCCCAUCAAUAAAGCUGUUCAGUUUUGGGGCUUUGAAUUAUGGACUUUGGGUCUUCUUUCUGCCGUGUAUACUAUGUGUAUAUCAGUCCGAUUUUUCUGCAUUUUCCUGUACAUCACCACGUAUACACUGUAUAUCAGUGUAGAAAUCAGCAUAUUCCCUCUCCACCUUUUAUUAUACACCGUAUGAUAGCGUGCAACUGCUGCUUUUGAUGUAUAUGCAAUGUAUAUCACCACAGAUCAGUGUAUACCAGCUUGUGUAACAGUGUUAUCUCGGGCAAAUCAGUCCAUUUUUAGACUUUAAGGAAUCUUGACUCGAUGGAGGUUGGUGUUAACCCCACGGAAUGCGAGAGACGGGAGUCCGAUGGACUCUAUGAAAGAGUUCAUGCAUAGAAAGUAAAUAAAAGGAUUAGCUAAUUUAAAAAGAAAAUAUUUGAUAUUACGUAAACAAUUUCAACAUAACAUAGUUAUUCACAGAUACUAACACACGUGAACAAAGGAAUAUAUAAUUCACCUUCCAAGGCACAAUCACCCGUGCAACAUAUCAACACUCAUUAAUUGGAAACAAAAGACCUUCAAGAAGACUGCAGCUAGUUUAAAAUGAUGAACAAGAAUUGAAUUUCAAUUUUCCAACUUCUUCCUAAAGUGUGUAAUUUUGGGAAACCCAUACUCUCCCUAAACUCACGAUUUUGAACCGAGAUAGAGAAGGAGAGAAAAAAAAUGAAACAAGGCAAUUAAUCUAUUCAGACUCGAGAGAACACAAAUAAGACCAUGCCAAGGGACCUGAAAUGCUGAACUCGUGCUUUUAAAAAGACCGAUCAUAGCAACAGAAUAUACAUACACAGAAAUAUAUAAAUUACCAUAUCAGUUGGAUUACGUAGCAAACUUGAAAAUUCAAGCGAGAUACAGUCACAAAUGAUGACUCAACCAUUUCUAAACGAUUGUUACCUCGAAGCUACUCUAACAAAAGUGAAAAGAAAAAGGUUUGAAGAUUAGUUAGAACUCAUGGAUAACACUUCAGUCAAAGCUUCCACUAAGGCUUAAAAGACAAGUAACAGACUUCACAUAUUUUCCUGCCAAAUCCAAAUUGUAGACUUUAUCCUUGCACAAAAUAGAGAAAAAAAAAAAUCCUAUCUUUAAUUGUUUCAAAUUGUUAAACGCUUGUAUUAUUCAAGUGUGAAACAUCAACAGCAACAAUCAUACAAAACCAUCAAAAGUUACGGUUUUCAACAUCCCGUCAAAACAUUGGGCUCAACUUAUCGAAACGACAUUAAAUGCACAUAUUUUGGACAGAACGAUAUCAAAUGCACAUAUGCGUAGCUCAUUACGUCUAACAAGGAAUUGAAGUAGCGACACCAAUUCAUUUAACAAAUACUAAUUUUGAUGAAAAAUGAUGUAGAAAGGGUAAAGUUCGUACCUUUUGUGGGGCAACGAACAUGGGACAACGAGCUUAGCACGAUGAAACUUCCACCACAGGAGAUUAUGUUUGUUUCAUCCCGAGAUUAUGAUUCCAACUUGUCGGAGUUCAACUUUUCGUCGAAAUUGAGUUUUCGAACUCUUCAAGAAUUUUGGUUGCGUGAGGUUAGAAGCAUGCGCCUCCCGAACCUUUAAGUUUUUCCCCAAAAUCCCCGUUCCUCCCCCUCUAUCCCUCAAUGGGUAUUUAUAGGGGAUUUUCGAAAUGAUUUUUGGGGAAAAACAAAUGAGAAAUUGAGGACGAAAAAUUUGAAAUUCAAACACAAAUUAAUCAUGACCAUCCAUGAUCCACGUACGUACGAAAUCAAGUCUGACCGAACAGCUUUGAGCAAAAUCCGGAUUAACCCGUUGGGUAUGAGCUGUUGUUGUUGACUUGUUCGUUGCUUUACUAUUGUUAUUGUCGCGUUGGUUGCUGUUGCUGAUAUGGGUUGCUGUAGUUGUUGAUAACGUUGUCGGCUGGGUUGUUGUUCGAUGAUGUUACUGUGUUAUUGAUGAGUCGGGUUUGCCGUUGUCGUUGAUGGGUAGGAGUUGUACGCUGCCUCUAUUGAAACUAGAUAUAAGUAUGAGGUGCUUAGCAUAGCUCUAAUAUAAAGAAUUUUAAAAUAACUUUAGUAUUUUGAGGUGUAAACAUGGAAUCGAAUUAAAAUUAUUUAUUUGAUAAUUUUUUUGACAUCAAUAAAU
RNAcentral lists this long non-coding RNA (2932 nucleotides) under Capsicum annuum. RNAcentral's name for it is "long non-coding RNA (CANN_LNC017970)". Lineage: Eukaryota; Viridiplantae; Streptophyta; Magnoliopsida; Solanales; Solanaceae. The record is from RNAcentral.